AGCAGCCGCGGUAAUUCCAGCUCCAAUAGCGUAUAUUAAAGUUGUUGCAGUUAAAAAGCUCGUAGUUGAAUUUCGGGAUCAAUAUGUUGGUCGUGCCUUGGUACGUACUGGCAUUAUUGGUUUCUACCUUCUGAAGAACCUCGAUGUCAUUAAUUUGGUGUCUUGGGGAAUCAGGACUGUUACUUUGAAAAAAUUAGAGUGUUUAAAGCAGGCUCGCGCUUGAAUACAUUAGCAUGGAAUAAUGAAAUAGGACGUUUGAUUCUAUUUUGUUGGUUUCUAGGAUCGACGUAAUGAUUAAUAGGGAUAGUUGGGGGCAUUAGUAUUCAAUUGUCAGAGGUGAAAUUCUUGGAUUUAUUGAAGACUAACUACUGCGAAAGCAUUUGCCAAGGAUGUUUUCAUUAAUCAAGAACGAAAGUUAGGGGAUCGAAGACGAUCAGAUACCGUCGUAGUCUUAACCAUAAACUAUGCCGACUAGGGAUCGGAUGAUGUUAAUUUUUUAAUGACUC
This 506-nucleotide ribosomal RNA is filed under the name uncultured Glomus. RNAcentral's name for it is "SSU rRNA". It matches the Rfam family "Eukaryotic small subunit ribosomal RNA", at positions 569 to 1077 of the family's 1831-position model. The record is from RNAcentral. Lineage: Eukaryota; Fungi; Glomeromycota; Glomeromycetes; Glomerales; Glomeraceae.